CGGCGUGCCUAAUACAUGCAAGUCGAACGGUCUUUCUAUGGAAGCUUGCUUCCACUGAGAAGAUAGUGGCGAACGGGUGAGUAACACGUGGGUAACCGUAGCCCAUAAGAGGGGGAGUAACAUCCGGAAACGGGUGCUAAUACCGCAUAGUUUUCUUGAUCGCAUGAUUGAGAAAGGAAAGACGGCCUUUGUGCUGUCGCUUAUGGAUGGACCCGCGGCGUAUUAGUUAGUUGGUGAGGUAACGGCUCACCAAGACGAUGAUACGUAGCCGACCUGAGAGGGUGAUCGGCCACAUUGGGACUGAGACACGGCCCAAACUCCUACGGGAGGCAGCAGUAGGGAAUCUUCCGCAAUGGACGAAAGUCUGACGGAGCAACGCCGCGUGAGUGAAGAAAAGGGUUUUCGGAUCGUAAAACUCUGUUGUCAGAGAAGAACAAGUUGGAGAGUAACUGCUCCAGCCUUGACGGUAUCUGACCAGAAAGCCACGGCUAACUACGUGCCAGCCGCAGC
RNAcentral lists this ribosomal RNA (510 nucleotides) under uncultured bacterium. Its description in RNAcentral is "bacterial SSU rRNA". It matches the Rfam family "Bacterial small subunit ribosomal RNA", at positions 40 to 518 of the family's 1533-position model. The record is from RNAcentral.